Molecule: ribosomal RNA, 253 nt
Filed under: uncultured bacterium
Lineage: Bacteria
Description: partial 16S ribosomal RNA
Rfam family: Bacterial small subunit ribosomal RNA
Source: RNAcentral
UACGAAGGGGGCUAGCGUUGUUCGGAAUUACUGGGCGUAAAGCGCGCGCAGGCGGUCUUCCAAGUCAGUGGUGAAAGCCCGGAGCUCAACUCCGGAACUGCCAUUGAAACUGUUAGACUUGAGGAUGAGAGAGGUGAGUGGAAUUCCCAGUGUAGAGGUGAAAUUCGUGGAUAUUGGGAAGAACACCGGUGGCGGAGGCGGCUCACUGGCUCAUUACUGACGCUCAGGCGCGAUAGCGUGGGGAUCAAACAGG